UACAGAGGUCCCGAGCGUUAUGCGGAAUCACUGGGCUUAAAGCGUGUGUAGGCGGCUUCCUAAGUCCCUUGUGAAAUCCCACGGCUCACCCGUGGAACUGCUCGGUAUACUGGGUCGCUUGAGCCACUUAGGGGCUACCGGAACAAAUGGUGGAGCGGUGAAAUGCGUAGAUAUCAUUUGGAACGCCAAUGGUGAAAACAGGUAGCUGGGAGUGUGCUGACGCUGAGACACGAAAGCCAGGGGAGCAAACGGG
RNAcentral lists this ribosomal RNA (253 nucleotides) under uncultured bacterium. RNAcentral describes it as "partial 16S ribosomal RNA". It matches the Rfam family "Bacterial small subunit ribosomal RNA", at positions 524 to 776 of the family's 1533-position model. The record is from RNAcentral.